RNAcentral lists this ribosomal RNA (443 nucleotides) under uncultured bacterium. RNAcentral describes it as "partial 16S ribosomal RNA". It matches the Rfam family "Bacterial small subunit ribosomal RNA", at positions 338 to 795 of the family's 1533-position model. The record is from RNAcentral.
CCUACGGGUGGCAGCAGUGGGGAAUAUUGGGCAAUGGGCGCAAGCCUGACCCAGCAACGCCGCGUGAAGGAAGAAGGCUUUCGGGUUGUAAACCUCUUUUCUGAGGGACGAAGAAAGUGACGGUACCUCAGGAAUAAGCCACGGCUAACUACGUGCCAACAGCCGCGGUAAUACGUAGGUGGCAAGCGUUAUCCGGAGUUAUUGGGGGUAAAGGGCGUGUAGGCGGGAAAUCAAGUCAGAUGUGAAAACUCAGGGCUCAACCCUGAGCCUGCAUUUGAAACUGGUUGUCUUGAGUGCUGGAGAGGCGAUCGGAAUUCCGGGUGUAGCGGUGAAAUGCGUAGAUAUACGGAGGAACACCAGUGGCGAAGGCGGAUUGCUGGACAGUAACUGACGCUGAGGCGCGAAAGCGUGGGGAGCAAACAGGAUUAGAUACCCCGGUAGUC